UGCGCGGUGCCCGCCGCGCCGGGGUGCCCCACUCCGGCUCUGCCCCCGCCGGCUGGCACCGCGCGCGGCUUGAGCCCCUGCCCCGGGGUCGGGCACCCGCCUGGCAAAGCCCCAAGGGCCUUAAAUCAAGCAAGACCCGGAGCAUCCGCGUAGGAACCGCGGGUUCAAGUGCUGUAUCUCCUCAGGGGCAGGACUCGGGCGUUUGCACAUGCACCUAUAUAGCCUGGUUUCCAGAGAUUUUAAGCACAUUCAUUGUUUCUAUGGCUGCUGAGCAACCCUGAAAUUUAAGCAUAUAUCUGAUCCUCACUUCUGCCAGGAUCCUGACAAGAUCUUAAGAAGACCACAGCAAUGAUAUCACACUGCACAAACAUUUUAUCUAAGAUGCUACUGUACCCUUGCUUGGCUGAAGAAUAGGAGAUGCUAACUUUGGAAAAAGUUUUGCUGCUUUAUGUAUACCAAUACAAUGUGGCAAAAAUUCCCCCAACCAGUGACAGUAGUAUAUAAUACUACUACAACAGCUACUGCUGCCUAAUUUCAUGUCAUGCUCUUCACAAUAAAUCUUACAGCACUUUACA
This 575-nucleotide long non-coding RNA is filed under the name Apteryx owenii (little spotted kiwi). RNAcentral's name for it is "lncRNA (ENSAOWG00000015150.1)". The record is from RNAcentral. Lineage: Eukaryota; Metazoa; Chordata; Aves; Apterygiformes; Apterygidae.